AUCAGUGAAGCCACUCUCCUCCCUCAUUAUCAUCUCAUGAUACUCACAAUCCAUCAGUAAAAAAUUCUAUUUCUUCUAAUGCCAAGUUCUCUGUACGAUCUUUGGUAGCUCAACAUUCCAAGUCCAAGCGCAUUAUCGCGUAUCCAAGCCCAAACCCAAAUUACGGGAGGACCACCACCAUGACGCUCCUUUCGGCAACAAAACCACCAAACAACAAAAAUGGUGACCGCCUCAGUAACUUGAUUCGUCAGGAUCUCUUUUUCUUGAAAGAGGCCUUAGAAGAGGAGAAGAAAUACAUGGAGAACU
This 306-nucleotide long non-coding RNA is filed under the name Actinidia chinensis (golden kiwifruit). RNAcentral describes it as "long non-coding RNA (ACHI_LNC006127)". Lineage: Eukaryota; Viridiplantae; Streptophyta; Magnoliopsida; Ericales; Actinidiaceae. The record is from RNAcentral.